UAAUGUAUACUCACUAACUGUAAGUCGCUCUGGAUAAGAGCGUCUGCUAAAUGACUAAAAUGUUUUAAAAAAUAACGCCACACGUCUCUCUGGUCGUAUGUUCUCUACUGGUUGUGGUAGCAGCUAUGCAUACGGAGUGGAGGACAUGACGUUAGAGGAGGCGUACGAGCUGGGCCGCCGUGGCAUCACCCACGCACAGAGACGCCUACUCUGGAGGAGUGGUCAACCUUUACUACAUGAAGGAGGACGGCUGGAUAAAGGUGUGUAAGGAGGACGUGUCAGAGCUGAUCCACCACUACAGGAAGGGCAUGUUCUGAUCCCAGAUCAGCCUCCAUAUCCACACAGACCACACUGUGUUCUCUCUCAACUGAUCCCAACACUGCUCCAAAUAAAGACUGUUUUCAAACUGCA
Long non-coding RNA from Coregonus clupeaformis (lake whitefish), 411 nucleotides. RefSeq lists it as uncharacterized. The record is from RefSeq and is a predicted model, not a curated record. The transcript is spliced from 2 exons. NCBI's taxonomy places the organism in Eukaryota, Metazoa, Chordata, Actinopteri, Salmoniformes, Salmonidae.